Molecule: long non-coding RNA, 337 nt
Organism: Haliotis rubra (blacklip abalone)
Lineage: Eukaryota; Metazoa; Mollusca; Gastropoda; Lepetellida; Haliotidae
Exons: 3
Source: RefSeq, a predicted model, not a curated record
CUUUGGUACCCUGAACAGAUGGAACUGUAGCAGGUGCAGACAUUAUUUUGUAUAAUUGCAUUAGGGACCGUUCAUAAUUUAUGGCUGAAGUGCGUGAUGAUGAUUGUAAGGGGUGGAGGUGUAACCCGUCUUGUUCUGGGGAGGUAGGGGGUCAUCAGUUUUGUACACAUGCAGGGGUGGGGAGCAAUAUCAGAUAAUUUUUUAAAAUGCAUAAAAUUAUGGAAAGGGGGAGGUGGGGGUCAUUCACAUUGUACAUGCUACUCCAUCAAAAUCAUCAUCACCUCUCCCCUAGCCAUAAAGUAUGAACAGUCCCUUACCCGCUAUUCAAUAUUCCAGC